This 565-nucleotide ribosomal RNA is filed under the name uncultured bacterium. RNAcentral's name for it is "bacterial SSU rRNA". It matches the Rfam family "Bacterial small subunit ribosomal RNA", at positions 338 to 916 of the family's 1533-position model. The record is from RNAcentral.
CCUACGGGAGGCAGCAGUAGGGAAUUUUCCGCAAUGGGCGAAAGCCUGACGGAGCAAUACCGCGUGAGGGAUGACUGCCUAUGGGUUGUAAACCUCUUUUUUCAGGGAGGAAUAAAUGACGUGUACCUGAAGAAUAAGCAUCGGCUAACUCCGUGCCAGCAGCCGCGGUAAGACGGAGGAUGCAAGUGUUAUCCGGAAUCACUGGGCGUAAAGCGUCUGUAGGUGGCUCGACAAGUCAACUGUUAAAUCUUGAAGCUCAACUUCAAAAUCGCAGUCGAAACUAUCGGACUAGAGUAUAGUAGAGGUAAAGGGAAUUUCCAGUGGAGCGGUGAAAUGCGUAGAGAUUGGAAAGAACACCGAUGGCGAAGGCACUUUACUGGGCUAUUACUGACACUCAGAGACGAAAGCUAGGGUAGCAAAUGGGAUUAGAUACCCCAGUAGUCCUAGCCGUAAACAAUGGAUACUAGGUGUUGAACAGAUCGACCUGUGCAGUACCAAAGCUAACGCGUUAAGUAUCCCGCCUGGGAAGUAUGCACGCAAGUGUGAAACUCAAAGGAAUUGACGG